Molecule: ribosomal RNA, 459 nt
Filed under: uncultured bacterium
Lineage: Bacteria
Description: bacterial SSU rRNA
Rfam family: Bacterial small subunit ribosomal RNA
Source: RNAcentral
GACGAACGCUGGCGGCGCGCCUAACACAUGCAAGUCGAACGAGCGAGAGAGAGCUUGCUUUCUCGAGCGAGUGGCGAACGGGUGAGUAACGCGUGAGGAACCUGCCUCAAAGAGGGGGACAACAGUUGGAAACGACUGCUAAUACCGCAUAAGCCCACAGGUCGGCAUCGACCAGAGGGAAAGGGAGCAAUCCGCUUUGAGAUGGCCUCGCGUCCGAUUAGCUAGUUGGUGAGGUAACGGCCCACCAAGGCGACGAUCGGUAGCCGGACUGAGAGGUUGAACGGCCACAUUGGGACUGAGACACGGCCCAGACUCCUACGGGAGGCAGCAGUGGGGAAUAUUGCACAAUGGGGGAAACCCUGAUGCAGCGACGCCGCGUGGAGGAAGAAGGUCUUCGGAUUGUAAACUCCUGUUGUUGAGGAAGAUAAUGACGGUACUCAACAAGGAAGUGACGGCUAA